UUUUUAAAAUUCUGAAAAUGCCAACCAAAUGAUUAUGGCACAUGUGCAUGGGGCAGAACAUCACAGAAGCAUGAAUAAAUAUCCAGCACUUCGAUAAGCAUCCACCCUGUGCGCACUCUAUCUAAGUGACAAUGGUUUUGAAAUCCUGCCACCAGAUAUUGGGAAGCUCACAAAGUUGCAGAUAAUAAGCAAUGAUGGGACCUCUUCUCCGGCAUUUGUUGCCCAGAUAAUUUUGCCUUUGGAGAAGAGAAGAAAAUCACAUUGGUCUGCUCGGAAUGCAACAAAACAAAGUGUUAUUGACACCAAAACCUUAUUUGCACCAAUCCAAACAGCCUAUGGGACAUAUGUCUGCAAUGCUGCACACACCUGGGGCUAGCCAGCUUAGUGCCCUACGAUAUGUGCCAAUAAUCGAUAGCAUUUUUUACUACAGUAAUUAUGAGAAGCAUAGUAUUUUCUAGCAUACUUGUGAAGAGUGGAAACAAAUAUUAAUCCCCUUCAGAGAGUAAAGGACAUUAUGAAUUGAGAAUUUCCUCCCAAUUUAUUCUCCAGAAUGAACAGAAUUAACAGUGAG
Molecule: long non-coding RNA, 571 nt
Filed under: Pan troglodytes (chimpanzee)
Lineage: Eukaryota; Metazoa; Chordata; Mammalia; Primates; Hominidae
Description: long non-coding RNA NONPTRT002164
Source: RNAcentral